CGUGUAGGCGGCUCUGCAAGUCAGAUGUGAAAUUCCCGGGCUUAACCCGGGCGCUGCAUCUGAAACUGCAGAACUUGAGUACUGGAGAGGAUAGUGGAAUUCCUAGUGUAGCGGUAAAAUGCGUAGAUAUUAGGAGGAACACCAGUGGCGAAGGCGGCUAUCUGGACAGUAACUGACGCUGAGGCGCGAAAGCGUGGGGAGCAAACAG
Molecule: ribosomal RNA, 208 nt
Filed under: uncultured Saccharofermentans sp.
Lineage: Bacteria; Bacillati; Bacillota; Clostridia; Eubacteriales; Oscillospiraceae
Also listed under: 1 other name
Description: partial 16S ribosomal RNA
Rfam family: Bacterial small subunit ribosomal RNA
Source: RNAcentral